RNAcentral lists this ribosomal RNA (1821 nucleotides) under Triticum aestivum (bread wheat). RNAcentral's name for it is "partial small subunit ribosomal RNA". The record is from RNAcentral. Lineage: Eukaryota; Viridiplantae; Streptophyta; Magnoliopsida; Poales; Poaceae.
AUGAUCGGGCGCCGACUUCGUCUCGGUGUUGGUGCCCGCUACCUCACCACGGCAGCCGUCCGGCGUGGGGACCUCGCCGGCGCCGCGGAGGCCUUCGCGUCCGCGCCCCGCAAGACCACGGCCGACUACAACCGCCUCCUCGCGGGCUACGCGAGGUCGCCCGGCGCCCGCCUCGCGGACGCGCGCCACCUGUUCGGCCGAAUCCCGCACCCUGACGUCGUCUCCUACAACACGCUCCUCUCCUGCCACUUCGCCGGCGGAGACGUCCGCGGCGCCCGGGAGCUCUUCUCCGCGAUGCCGGACAGGGACGUCGCGUCCUGGAACACCAUGGUGUCCGGGCUGUCCAGGAACGGGGCCGUGGGGGAGGCCAGGGCCUUGUUCCUGGCCAUGCCCGCGAGGAACUCCGUCUCCUGGAACGCCAUGGUUUCCGGGUUUGCCUCCGCUGGAGACAUGGGCAUGGCCGAGGAGUGCUUUAGGGACGCGCCCGACAAGGAGGACGCCGUUCUUUGGACAGCCAUGGUGUCAGGGUACAUGGAUGCUGGCGAUGUGGACAAGGCAACGGAGUUGUUCCAGGAAAUGCCGGUGAGGAACUUGGUCUCAUGGAACGCCAUGGUUGCGGGCUAUGUCAAAAAUUCACGCACGGAUGAUGCUUUGAUGGUGUUCAAGACGAUAGUCAGGGAUGCUGAUGUUCGGCCAAACGAGUCGACAUUAAGUAGCGUGCUCCUUGGAUGCAGCAACCUGUCUGCGCUGGGAUUUGGGAGGCAGGUACAUCAGUGGUGCAUCAAGCUGCCGCUGAGUCGGAGAAUAACUGUUGGUACGUCGCUCGUGAGCAUGUACUGCAAGUGCGGCGACUUGGAGGGCGCGUGCAAGCUGUUCAGUGAGAUGCGUACAAGGGAUGUGGUUGCAUGGAAUGCUAUGAUUUCAGGCUAUGCACAGCAUGGCCACGGGCAGGAAGCUAUCAACUUGUUUGAAAAGAUGAAGGCUCAAGGUGUUAAGCCUAACUGGAUUACUUUUGUGGCAGUAUUGACUGCUUGUAUCCACACUGGAUUUUGCGAUUUUGGAAUACAGUGUUUUGAGACAAUGCAGGAAAUCUACGGAGUCAAGCCCCGGGCUGAUCAUUACUCUUGCAUGGUGGAUCUUCUGUGCCGAGCUGGUUUGCUUGAAAGAGCUGUGUGCUUGAUUCGCUCUAUGCCUUUUGAGCCACAUCCUUCUGCCUACGGCACUCUAUUGGCUGCUUGUAGAGUUUACAAGAACUUGGAGUUUGCUGAGUUUGCUGCUGGAAAGCUGAUCCAACAGAACUCACACAACGCAGGCGCCUAUGUACAGUUGGCAAAUAUUUAUGCUGCAGCAAAUCAGUGGGCCGAGGUCUCCAGAGUAAGGAGGUGGAUGAAGGAUAAUGCAGUUGUCAAAACACCUGGGUAUAGCUGGGUUGAGAUAAAGGGUGUGGUUCAUGAGUUCAGAUCAAAUGACAGAUUACAUCCUCAGCUUCGUUUGAUUCAUGAAAGAUUGGACUGGUUGGAAGAGCGGAUGAAGGCAAUGGGUUAUGCUCCAGAUCUUGAUUUUGUACUGCAUGAUGUAGACGAAAGUCUUAAGGUGCAGAUGCUAAUGAGGCACAGUGAGAAGCUCGCUAUUGCUUUUGGCCUCAUUAGUACUGCACCUGGGUUAACCUUGAGGAUAUUCAAGAAUCUCAGGGUCUGUGGAGAUUGCCAUAAUGCUGCGAAGCUCAUCUCCAAGAUCGAGGAUCGAGAAAUCAUCCUGAGGGAUACAACACGUUUCCAUCACUUUAAAGGUGGGCAUUGUUCAUGUGGGGGUUACUGGUGA